Molecule: long non-coding RNA, 1231 nt
Filed under: Oryctolagus cuniculus (rabbit)
Lineage: Eukaryota; Metazoa; Chordata; Mammalia; Lagomorpha; Leporidae
Description: lncRNA (ENSOCUG00000031684.1)
Source: RNAcentral
GUGUAUUUGUUGUAAUCAGUGAACAAGCACUGAUAUACUAUGGUCAAAUACUAUAAUUUUAUUCACAUUCCUUAGUUUUUAACUCAAAGUCCAUUUUCUGUUGCAGAAUUCCCCUACAGAUGGCAAAUGCUGCAUUUAGUUGCCAUGUCUCUUUAAGUUUUUUUUGGUUGGCCAGUUUCUCAGAUUUUCCAUAUUUUUGAUGACAUUGGCAAUUUUUAGUAGUAGUGGUAGGGAAUGAUGAGAGUGAUGUAGGGUCUUGUCUCAUAUUGAAUAACAAUUUCCAGGGGAACAGGGAUAGUAGGCUGCAGCACUCAGGAGAAGAACUUCAAGGGAGGAGUUGUUAGAGAAACUUGCAAGUGCUAGCUCUUUUAUACACAAAGUUUCUCUCUCUGAUUGACCCCUUUCUGAGAAGUGAUACAGAUUUAACCAAUGGGGUGGGGGGAGCCCAAAAUAACAACCAAUCAAGAGGCCAGGAUAACAACCAAUCAGGGAACUGAAAGUGUAUGCUAAUGAGAUGCUAUAUGAAUCCAUCAGGGAUUAGCCUGUUUUGCAUAGAAGUAUAUAGAGUGCUCAAUCAGAUCCAUUCUUCACUCAACAACAUGUAAAGAUUACACUGUAUGUUUCCCCUGUCUCCUCUCUCCCCCUGUCUCAGGGCUCCUGGAGAGUUACAUCAUAUAUUUUUUAUUUCUUUGUUUUUCUUUCCUUUCUAGGGGUCCUUGGAGUUCCUCUCAGUGGUCAGAAAUUUUGUAGAAAGUCCCUUUCCUUGGUUUGCUUGAUAUUUUCCUCAUGUUUGGCCAGGUUUCUCUUCUGUAAAAUUUCGUUUCCUUUUCCUUUCAGUACUCAUAGGAUGAAAGUCACUUUCAUACUGUAAAAUGAAGGAGGGAGAAGCCAUGUUCAGAUUCCUGAGGGUGGAGUAGUUUAAUUUUCAUAAGCUGAAUUCCUUUCAGAACAGAGCAGCUUGCUAUCGUAGAGAAGCCUGGAAUGAAUGCUCUGUCAGCUCAAGGACCCUCCUUAUUCUGUGGUGGUCCACACAAAUCCUUCCAAGGGAAGAACACUGUCAUCACAAAUCACCAUGUGCCAACUGAAAAGCCUGGUUCUGGGGAUGUUGGUGCUGGAAAUCACCAUCUACGACUGAUAUUCGGCUGUCCUCAGACAUCGUAGAAGAGUUCUCCGAUUCCGUGUGUGGGAUUGAAAUCCUGGAAGUUCAUUACUGAGAGUCGUUUGAUCAGUC